Long non-coding RNA from Sinocyclocheilus anshuiensis, 680 nucleotides. RefSeq lists it as uncharacterized. Lineage: Eukaryota; Metazoa; Chordata; Actinopteri; Cypriniformes; Cyprinidae. The transcript has 4 exons. The record is from RefSeq and is a predicted model, not a curated record.
UGCAGCUGCAGUACGUACACAUGUAUAACACUGAAAUCGUUAGCUUCAUGUAGAGGAUUUCAAACGUUUUAAAGGAUAUAACAUCCAUCUGUCGUUUGAAAGCACUUUCUCGUUUUCAGCGCGGAUUCGCUGAAGCAUGUCUGUGUUUGGAGGAGUGUUCCGUCAGUCCUCGGCUCGACUCUUCAGCACAGGCACGUGCGCUAGAAUACGAAUGCACGCUGUUCCCAAACUGAGAGAGCUGGACCGAUGGACGGAGAAGAGAAGCAUGUUUGGAGUUUAUGACAACAUCGGGAUCUUGGUGCUGCAGCAGACUAUGAGUUGAGCUUCAAAAACAACCUGUGACAAUUAUUUUAUUUAACUGAACUCAAUAGAUAAUUGAAUUCUAAUUCUCCUUAGAUGGUUUAGAAGAGCAGUCUCGGUAAUAUGCAUUUCAUAUUACAGUGUUUGACAAGCUACAAUAAAGGUGUUCUUUUCUUUUUCUUUUCAUAUGCUGUUUUUGGUGUAUUGCACGCGAGUCAGUUUGUCUCAACACAAAAGUCGUAAGAAAAUGUGUGCAGCCUGCAUAUUUGUGUCAGAACUUUGCAUGCACAUGCAUUACCCUAAAUGAGAAAUAUUACAAAAAAUAAACAGUUUAACCAGUAUUUCAAGCAGUUUGAAAAGUGAAUGCAGGUCAAACUGAA